RNAcentral lists this ribosomal RNA (160 nucleotides) under uncultured bacterium. Its description in RNAcentral is "partial 16S ribosomal RNA". It matches the Rfam family "Bacterial small subunit ribosomal RNA", at positions 355 to 507 of the family's 1533-position model. The record is from RNAcentral.
UAGGGAAUCUUCCGCAAUGGACGAAAGUCUGACGGAGCAACGCCGCGUGAGUGAUGAAGGUUUUCGGAUCGUAAAGCUCUGUUGCCAGGGAAGAAUGCUUGGGAGAGUAACUGCUCCCAAGGUGACGGUACCUGAGAAGAAAGCCCCGGCUAACUACGUG